Molecule: ribosomal RNA, 217 nt
Filed under: uncultured fungus
Lineage: Eukaryota; Fungi
Description: partial small subunit ribosomal RNA
Rfam family: Eukaryotic small subunit ribosomal RNA (bases 89-217)
Source: RNAcentral
GACUUGGUUGGGUGGUCCGCUUAACGGCGAGUACUGCCCGGGCUGAGUCUUACCUCUUGGUGAACCGGUGUGCCCUUCACUGGUGUGCAUUGGGGAACCAGGACUUUUACCUUGAGAAAAUUAGAGUGUUCAAAGCAGGCUAUCGUCUGAAUACAUUAGCAUGGAAUAAUAAAAUAGGACGUGCGGUUCUAUUUUGUUGGUUUCUAGAGUCGCCGUA